RNAcentral lists this ribosomal RNA (507 nucleotides) under Podarcis ionicus (Corfu wall lizard). RNAcentral's name for it is "Podarcis tauricus ionicus partial 16S ribosomal RNA". It matches the Rfam family "Bacterial large subunit ribosomal RNA", at positions 1913 to 2620 of the family's 2925-position model. Lineage: Eukaryota; Metazoa; Chordata; Lepidosauria; Squamata; Lacertidae. The record is from RNAcentral.
CAGUGACUCUUUAAACGGCCGCGGUAUCCUAACCGUGCAAAGGUAGCAUAAUCACUUGUCCCCUAAAUAGGGACUGGUAUGAAUGGCUAAAUGAGGAUAAAACUGUCUCUUACGGACUAGCCGAUGAAAUUGAUCCUCCAGUACAAAAGCUGGAAUAAACCCAUAAGACGAGAAGACCCUGUGGAGCUUUAAAACCAAAGCCACCAAGCAUGCCUCUUGGGUUUUUAGUUGGGGCGACUUUGGAGCAAAAAAAAACCUCCAAAACAUGAACUUAAUUAUUAAGACUAACAUACCAAAAAAAUUUUACUAGACCCAGCAGUAUCAUAUGCUGUCUGACCAAUGAACCAAGUUACCCCAGGGAUAACAGCGCCAUCCUCUUCUAGAGUCCCUAUCGACAAGAGGGUUUACGACCUCGAUGUUGGAUCAGGACACCCCUAUAGUGCAACCGCUAUAAAAGGUUCGUUUGUUCAACGAUUAAAGUCCUACGUGAUCUGAGUUCAGACCGGA